UGUGUGUGUGUGUGUGUGUGUGUGUGUGUGUGUGUGUGUGUGUGUGUGUGUGUGUGUGUGUGUGUGUGGUGGAAAUAUCUGCAUCAUCCAGCAAUCGGACUCCCUCCCCAAAAAGUGAUUGGUGUUUGUAUAUGAAUAUUACAUAUUAUUGUUGUCAUCUUACUUCCAUUAACCCGGUGAGUCCCACCGAAACACCGACACGUUAUGGACCGCUUUUAAACACGAUGUGCUUGAGCUCAGACUUCUUGGUUGCAUAAUUUAUUCUGCAUCCUUAGAUUCUAAUUAUUAGUCUGUGUGAUUUAAUGGGGGCUGAGCAAGAGUGGUGUUUGUGAAACAAGGCCAGAUCCCGGAGGGGGGGACGGGUCUUUUAUACAAAAGCAUCUGUUUUGCUCUAUGAUGCCUGCACCUCUACUAUGGGCUCCCAGCUCACUGCCCCCUGGUGAGAGUCGUUAGAAGGUAAGAGGUUGAGAGUCGUUACAAGGUAAGAGGUUGAGAGUCGUUAGAAGGUAAGAGUCGUUAGAAGGUAAGAGGUUGAGAGUCGUUAGAAGGUAAGAGUCGUUAGAAGGUAAGAGGUUGAGAGUCGUUAG
RNAcentral lists this long non-coding RNA (587 nucleotides) under Salmo salar (Atlantic salmon). RNAcentral describes it as "lncRNA (ENSSSAG00000101371.1)". Lineage: Eukaryota; Metazoa; Chordata; Actinopteri; Salmoniformes; Salmonidae. The record is from RNAcentral.